CCUACGGGAGGCAGCAGUGGGGAAUCUUGCGCAAUGGGCGAAAGCCUGACGCAGCCAUGCCGCGUGAAUGAUGAAGGUCUUAGGAUUGUAAAAUUCUUUCACCGAGGACGAUAAUGACGGUACUCGGAGAAGAAGCCCCGGCUAACUUCGUGCCAGCAGCCGCGGUAAUACGAAGGGGGCUAGCGUUGCUCGGAAUUACUGGGCGUAAAGGGAGCGUAGGCGGAUAGUUUAGUCAGAGGUGAAAGCCCAGGGCUCAACCUUGGAAUUGCCUUUGAUACUGGCUAUCUUGAGUACGGAAGAGGUAUGUGGAACUCCGAGUGUAGAGGUGAAAUUCGUAGAUAUUCGGAAGAACACCAGUGGCGAAGGCGACAUACUGGUCCGUUACUGACGCUGAGGCUCGAAAGCGUGGGGAGCAAACAGGAUUAGAUACCCUGGUAGUCCACGCUGUAAACGAUGAGUGCUAGUUGUCGGCAUGCAUGCAUGUCGGUGACGCAGCUAACGCAUUAAGCACUCCGCCUGGGGAGUACGGUCGCAAGAUUAAAACUUAAAUGAAUUGACGG
RNAcentral lists this ribosomal RNA (560 nucleotides) under uncultured bacterium. Its description in RNAcentral is "bacterial SSU rRNA". It matches the Rfam family "Bacterial small subunit ribosomal RNA", at positions 338 to 916 of the family's 1533-position model. The record is from RNAcentral.